CGUGCAAGUCGGCUUGUCGCUGUUCUAGACCAAGUAUUUGGUUUGGAAAAGAGGAAAGUCCGGGCAACAGAGAGCGCCAUACUUCCUAACGGGAAGGGGGCUGACUGGUGACGGUCAGUUUACAGAUAGUGCCACAGAAAAUAUACCGUCCCGAUAGCUAUCGGGAUAAGGGUGAAAAGGUGGAGUAAGAGCCCACCGGUUCUAUGGUGACAUAGGACGCAUGGUAAACCUUAUGGGUUGAAAGGUCAAAUAGACCUCGGGCAAAGAGCUGCUCGUUCGAUUCUGCAUACGGUCCGAUUUAUCGGAUUCGGAGUAGAUUCCGAGGUGGGUAGACCGAUAGACCCCAAUUGUGAAAUUGGGGCUAGAUAAAUGACAAGAUUCCUUAAAAGGAAACAGAACCCGGCUUACAGACUUGCACUUUUU
Molecule: RNase P RNA, 423 nt
Filed under: Algoriphagus faecimaris
Lineage: Bacteria; Pseudomonadati; Bacteroidota; Cytophagia; Cytophagales; Cyclobacteriaceae
Description: Bacterial RNase P class A
Rfam family: Bacterial RNase P class A
About the family: Ribonuclease P (RNase P) is a ubiquitous endoribonuclease, found in archaea, bacteria and eukarya as well as chloroplasts and mitochondria. Its best characterised activity is the generation of mature 5'-ends of tRNAs by cleaving the 5'-leader elements of precursor-tRNAs. Cellular RNase Ps are ribonucleoproteins.
Source: RNAcentral